Molecule: ribosomal RNA, 491 nt
Filed under: uncultured bacterium
Lineage: Bacteria
Description: partial 16S ribosomal RNA
Rfam family: Bacterial small subunit ribosomal RNA
Source: RNAcentral
GUGAACGCUGGCGGUAGGCCUAACACAUGCAAGUCGCACGGCAGCACAGUAAGAGCUUGCUCUUACGGGUGGCGAGUGGCGGACGGGUGAGGAGUACAUCGGAAUCUACUUUUUCGUGGGGGAUAACGUAGGGAAACUUACGCUAAUACCGCAUACGACCUACGGGUGAAAGCAGGGGAUCUUCGGACCUUGCGCGAUUGAAUGAGCCGAUGUCGGAUUAGCUAGUUGGCGGGGUAAAGGCCCACCAAGGCGACGAUCCGUGGCUGGUCUGAGAGGAUGAUCAGCCACACUGGAACUGAGACACGGUCCAGACUCCUACGGGAGGCAGCAGUGGGGAAUAUUGGACAAUGGGCGCAAGCCUGAUCCAGCCAUACCGCGUGGGUGAAGAAGGCCUUCGGGUUGUAAAGCCCUUUUGUUGGGAAAGAAAAGCAGCAGGUUAAUACCCCGCUGUUCUGACGGUACCCAAAGAAUAAGCACCGGCUAACUUCGUG